ACCAGACUCCUACGGGAGGCAGCAGUGGGGGAUAUUGCACAAUGGGGGAAACCCUGAUGCAGCGACGCCGCGUGGGUGAAGAAGUAUUUCGGUAUGUAAAGCCCUAUCAGCAGGGAAGAAAGAAGACGGUACCUGACUAAGAAGCCCCGGCUAACUACGUGCCAGCAGCCGCGGUAAUACGUAGGGGGCGAGCGUUAUCCGGAUUCACUGGGUGUAAAGGGAGCGUAGACGGCCGUGCAAGCCAGGAGUGAAAGCCCGGGGCCCAACCCCGGGACUGCUCUUGGAACUGUGCGGCUGGAGUGCGGGAGGGGCAGGCGGAAUUCCUGGUGUAGCGGUGAAAUGCGUAGAUAUCAGGAGGAACACCGGCGGCGAAGGCGGCCUGCUGGACCGCGACUGACGUUGAGGCCCGAAAGCGUGGGGAGCAAACAGGAUUAGAUACCCUCGUACA
Molecule: ribosomal RNA, 448 nt
Filed under: uncultured bacterium
Lineage: Bacteria
Description: bacterial SSU rRNA
Rfam family: Bacterial small subunit ribosomal RNA
Source: RNAcentral